GAUGAACGCUGGCGGCGUGCCUAAUACAUGCAAGUCGAGCGAACAGACGAGGAGCUUGCUCCUCUGACGUUAGCGGCGGACGGGUGAGUAACACGUGGAUAACCUACCUAUAAGACUGGGAUAACUUCGGGAAACCGGAGCUAAUACCGGAUAAUAUAUUGAACCGCAUGGUUCAAUAGUGAAAGACGGUUUUGCUGUCACUUAUAGAUGGAUCCGCGCCGCAUUAGCUAGUUGGUAAGGUAACGGCUUACCAAGGCAACGAUGCGUAGCCGACCUGAGAGGGUGAUCGGCCACACUGGAACUGAGACACGGUCCAGACUCCUACGGGAGGCAGCAGUAGGGAAUCUUCCGCAAUGGGCGAAAGCUUGACGGAGCAACGCCGCGUGAGUGAUGAAGGUCUUCGGAUCGUAAAGCUCUGUUAUUAGGGAAGAACAAAUGUGGAAGUAACUAUGCACGUCUUGACGGUACCUAAACAGAAAGCCACGGCUAACUACGUG
RNAcentral lists this ribosomal RNA (497 nucleotides) under uncultured bacterium. RNAcentral describes it as "partial 16S ribosomal RNA". It matches the Rfam family "Bacterial small subunit ribosomal RNA", at positions 28 to 507 of the family's 1533-position model. The record is from RNAcentral.